This 500-nucleotide ribosomal RNA is filed under the name uncultured bacterium. RNAcentral describes it as "partial 16S ribosomal RNA". It matches the Rfam family "Bacterial small subunit ribosomal RNA", at positions 29 to 523 of the family's 1533-position model. The record is from RNAcentral.
AACGAACGCUGGCGGCAGGCCUAACACAUGCAAGUCGAGCGGAUGAGGGGUGCUUGCACCCUGAUUCAGCGGCGGACGGGUGAGUAAUGCCUAGGAAUCUGCCCGAUAGUGGGGGACAACGUUUCGAAAGGAAAGCUAAUACCGCAUACGUCCUACGGGAGAAAGUGGGGGCUCUUCGGACCUCACGCUAUCGGAUGAGCCUAGGUCGGAUUAGCUAGUUGGUGGGGUAAAGGCUCACCAAGGCGACGAUCCGUAACUGGUCUGAGAGGAUGAUCAGUCACACUGGAAAUGAGACACCGUCCAGACUCCUAGGGGGGGGAGCAGUGGGGAAUAUUGGACAAUGGGCGAAAGCACGAUCCAGACAUGCCGCGUGUGUGCAGAAGGUCUUCGGAUUGUAAAGCACUUUAAGUCGGGAGGAAGGGCUGCAGGUUAAUACCUUGCAGCCUUGACGUUACCGACAGAAUAAGCACCGGCUAACUUCGUGCCAGCAGCCGCAGUAA